GACGAACGCUGGCGGCGUGCUUAACACAUGCAAGUCGAACGGAAAGGCCCUGCUUUUGUGGGGUGCUCGAGUGGCGGACGGGUGAGUAACACGUGAGUAACCUGCCCUUGACUUUGGGAUAACUUCAGGAAACUGGGGCUAAUACCGGAUAGGAGCUCCUGCUGCAUGGUGGGGGUUGGAAAGUUUCGGCGGUUGGGGAUGGACUCGCGGCUUAUCAGCUUGUUGGUGGGGUAGUGGCUUACCAAGGCUUUGACGGGUAGCCGGCCUGAGAGGGUGACCGGCAACAUUGGGACUGAGAUACGGCCCAGACUCCUACGGGAGGCAGCAGUGGGGAAUAUUGCACAAUGGGCGGAAGCCUGAUGCAGCAACGCCGCGUGCGGGAUGACGGCCUUCGGGUUGUAAACCGCUUUCGCCUGUGACGAAGCGUGAGUGACGGUAAUGGGUAAAGAAGCACCGGCUAACUACGUG
Molecule: ribosomal RNA, 468 nt
Filed under: uncultured bacterium
Lineage: Bacteria
Description: partial 16S ribosomal RNA
Rfam family: Bacterial small subunit ribosomal RNA
Source: RNAcentral